UAGACGGAGAACUGAUAAG
This 19-nucleotide microRNA is filed under the name Plutella xylostella (diamondback moth). RNAcentral's name for it is "pxy-miR-184". Its record names the gene pxy-miR-184. The record is from miRBase by way of RNAcentral. Lineage: Eukaryota; Metazoa; Arthropoda; Insecta; Lepidoptera; Plutellidae.